This 1537-nucleotide ribosomal RNA is filed under the name Phocaeicola sartorii. RNAcentral describes it as "Bacteroides sartorii 16S ribosomal RNA". It matches the Rfam family "Bacterial small subunit ribosomal RNA". The record is from RNAcentral. Lineage: Bacteria; Pseudomonadati; Bacteroidota; Bacteroidia; Bacteroidales; Bacteroidaceae.
AUUUUUACAAUGAAGAGUUUGAUCCUGGCUCAGGAUGAACGCUAGCUACAGGCUUAACACAUGCAAGUCGAGGGGCAGCAUGGUCUUAGCUUGUUAAGACUGAUGGCGACCGGCGCACGGGUGAGUAACACGUAUCCAACCUGCCUUAUACUCCCGGACAGCCUUCUGAAAGGAAGAUUAAUACGGGAUGGUAUCACGGGCCAGCAUUUUCUCGUGAUUAAAGAACUUCGGUAUAAGAUGGGGAUGCGUUCCAUUAGAUAGUAGGCGGGGUAACGGCCCACCUAGUCUACGAUGGAUAGGGGUUCUGAGAGGAAGGUCCCCCACAUUGGAACUGAGACACGGUCCAAACUCCUACGGGAGGCAGCAGUGAGGAAUAUUGGUCAAUGGGCGCGAGCCUGAACCAGCCAAGUAGCGUGAAGGAUGACUGCCCUACGGGUUGUAAACUUCUUUUAUAAAGGAAUAAAGUGAGGCACGUGUGCCUUUUUGUAUGUACUUUAUGAAUAAGGAUCGGCUAACUCCGUGCCAGCAGCCGCGGUAAUACGGAGGAUCCGAGCGUUAUCCGGAUUUAUUGGGUUUAAAGGGAGCGUAGAUGGGUUGUUAAGUCAGUUGUGAAAGUUUGCGGCUCAACCGUAAAAUUGCAAUUGAUACUGGCAGCCUUGAGUACAGUUGAGGUAGGCGGAAUUCGUGGUGUAGCGGUGAAAUGCUUAGAUAUCACGAAGAACUCCGAUUGCGAAGGCAGCCUACUAAACUGCCACUGACAUUGAUGCUCGAAAGUGUGGGUAUCAAACAGGAUUAGAUACCCUGGUAGUCCACACGGUAAACGAUGAAUACUCGCUGUUUGCGAUACACUGCAAGCGGCCAAGCGAAAGCGUUAAGUAUUCCACCUGGGGAGUACGCCGGCAACGGUGAAACUCAAAGGAAUUGACGGGGGCCCGCACAAGCGGAGGAACAUGUGGUUUAAUUCGAUGAUACGCGAGGAACCUUACCCGGGCUUGAAUUGCACUCGGAUAUAGCGGAAACGUUAUAGCUAGCAAUAGCGAGUGUGAAGGUGCUGCAUGGUUGUCGUCAGCUCGUGCCGUGAGGUGUCGGCUUAAGUGCCAUAACGAGCGCAACCCUUGUCUAUAGUUACUAACAGGUCAUGCUGAGGACUCUAUGGAGACUGCCAUCGUAAGAUGUGAGGAAGGUGGGGAUGACGUCAAAUCAGCACGGCCCUUACGUCCGGGGCCACACACGUGUUACAAUGGGGGGUACAGAGGGCCGCUACCACGCAAGUGGAUGCCAAUCCCGAAAGCCUCUCUCAGUUCGGACUGGAGUCUGCAACCCGACUCCACGAAGCUGGAUUCGCUAGUAAUCGCGCAUCAGCCAUGGCGCGGUGAAUACGUUCCCGGGCCUUGUACACACCGCCCGUCAAGCCAUGGGAGCCGGGGGUACCUGAAGUGCGUAACCGCAAGGAGCGCCCUAGGGUAAAACUGGUGACUGGGGCUAAGUCGUAACAAGGUAGCCGUACCGGAAGGUGCGGCUGGAACACCUCCUUUCU